AUGCAAGUCGAACGGUACGCUAUUCUUAUAGUCGCUUGCGACUAUAAGUUAGCUUACAGCGGCAAACGGGUGAGUAACGCGUAGGUAACCUGCCUUAAAGUCGGGAAUAGCUCAGCGAAAGCUGAGGUAAUACUCGAUAGUCUCCAAUCACUUCGGUGUUUUGGAGUAAAGUUUCGGCGCUUUAAGAGGGGCCUGCGUCCUUUCAGCUAGUUGGUGAGGUAAAAGCUCACCAAGGCUAAGACGGGUAGCUGGUGUGAGAGCAUGUUCAGCCACCAUGGAACUGAGACACGGUCCAUACUCCUACGGGAGGCAGCAAUUAGGAAUCUUGCGCAAUGGGGGCAACCCUGGCGCAGCGACACAGCGUGGAGGAGGAAGGUCUUCGGAUUGUAAACUCCUUUUAUGAGGGACGAAUAGAUGACGGUACCUCUUGAAUAAGUACCUGCUAACUACGUGCCAGAAGCAUCGGUGAUGCGUAGGGUACAAACGUUAUCCGGAGUUAUUGGGCGUAAAGAGAUGCGUAGGCGGCUUAAUAAGUCUAAGGUUAAAGUCCACGGCUCAACCGUGGAGAAGCUUUGGAUACUGUUAGGCUUGAGAUAUAGAGGGGUGAAUGGAAUUCCAAGUGGAGUGGUGAAAUACGUUGAUAUUUGGAAGAACACCAGUGGCGAAGGCGAUUCACUGGCUAUUAUCUGACGCUAAGGCUCGAAAGUAUGGGUAGCAAAACGGAUUAGAUACCCGUGUAGUCCAUACCGUAAACGAUGAAUGCUAGGUGUU
Molecule: ribosomal RNA, 771 nt
Filed under: uncultured organism
Description: bacterial SSU rRNA
Rfam family: Bacterial small subunit ribosomal RNA
Source: RNAcentral